UGGGGAAUUUUGGACAAUGGGCGAAAGCCUGAUCCAGCAAUGCCGCGUGUGUGAAGAAGGCCUUCGGGUUGUAAAGCACUUUUGUCCGGAAAGAAAUCCUUGGCUCUAAUACAGUCGGGGGAUGACGGUACCGGAAGAAUAAGCACCGGCUAACUACGUGCCAGCAGCCGCGGUAAUACGUAGGGUGCAAGCGUUAAUCGGAAUUACUGGGCGUAAAGCGUGCGCAGGCGGUUUGCUAAGACCGAUGUGAAAUCCCCGGGCUCAACCUAGGAACUGCAUUGGUGACUGGCAGGCUAGAGUAUGGCAGAGGGGGGUAGAAUUCCACGUGUAGCAGUGAAAUGCGUAGAGAUGUGGAAGAAUACCGAUGGCGAAGGCAGCCCCCUGGGCCAAUACUGACGCUCAUGCACGAAAGCGUGGGGAGCAAACAGGAUUAGAUACCCUGGUAGUCCACGCCCUAAACGAUGUCAACUAGUUGUUGGGGAUUCAUUUCCUUAGUAACGUAGCUAACGCGUGAAGUUGACCGCCUGGGGAGUACGGUCGCAAGAUUAAAACUCAAAGGAAUUGACGGGGUCAUAGCUGUUUCCU
This 585-nucleotide ribosomal RNA is filed under the name uncultured bacterium. Its description in RNAcentral is "partial 16S ribosomal RNA". It matches the Rfam family "Bacterial small subunit ribosomal RNA", at positions 355 to 1375 of the family's 1533-position model. The record is from RNAcentral.